GAGAAAGUGACCGAGUGGACUAUGGUGGCUGAUUGUAAAUCAGCUUAGUAAAAACUACAGCGUAGGUUCGAAUCCUGCCUUUCUCA
RNAcentral lists this transfer RNA (86 nucleotides) under Jenufa perforata. RNAcentral describes it as "tRNA-Tyr". It matches the Rfam family "tRNA". From Rfam's summary of the family: Transfer RNA (tRNA) molecules are approximately 80 nucleotides in length. Their secondary structure includes four short double-helical elements and three loops (D, anti-codon, and T loops). Further hydrogen bonds mediate the characteristic L-shaped molecular structure. tRNAs have two regions of fundamental functional importance: the anti-codon, which is responsible for specific mRNA codon recognition, and the 3' end, to which the tRNAs corresponding amino acid is attached (by aminoacyl-tRNA synthetases). tRNAs cope with the degeneracy of the genetic code in two manners: having more than one tRNA (with a specific anti-codon) for a particular amino acid; and 'wobble' base-pairing, i.e. permitting non-standard base-pairing at the 3rd anti-codon position. Lineage: Eukaryota; Viridiplantae; Chlorophyta; Chlorophyceae. The record is from RNAcentral.